This 164-nucleotide ribosomal RNA is filed under the name uncultured bacterium. RNAcentral's name for it is "partial 16S rRNA". It matches the Rfam family "Bacterial small subunit ribosomal RNA", at positions 355 to 511 of the family's 1533-position model. The record is from RNAcentral.
UAGGGAAUCUUCCGCAAUGGACGAAAGUCUGAUGGAGCAACGCCGCGUGAGUGAAGAAGGGUUUCGGCUCGUAAAACUCUGUUGUUAAAGAAGAACAUAUCUGAGAGUAACUGUUCAGGUAUUGACGGUAUUUAACCAGAAAGCCACGGCUAACUACGUGCCGG